GGACAGGUAGAGGUUUAUAAUUCAGAGCCCAGGGUGGACAGGUAGAGGUUUAUAAUUCAGAGCCCAGGAUGGACAGGUAGAGGUUUAUAAUUCAGAGCCCAGGGUGGACAGGUAGAGGUUUAUAAUUCAGAGCCCAGGAUGGACAGGUAGAGGUUUAUAAUUCAGAGCCCAGGAUGGACAGGUAGAGGUUUAUAAUUCAGAGCCCAGGAUGGUGCACCUGGCUGUGACAUACAUUACAUGACCAAAAGUAUGUGGACAACUGCUCGUUGAACAUCUCAUUCUAAGAUUGAGCAUUAAUAUGGAGGAGGUCCCC
Molecule: long non-coding RNA, 313 nt
Organism: Oncorhynchus tshawytscha (Chinook salmon)
Lineage: Eukaryota; Metazoa; Chordata; Actinopteri; Salmoniformes; Salmonidae
Source: Ensembl